UCGUUAAUGGCCGAGUUGUCUAAGGCGCCAGUUUCAGGUACUGGUCCUGAAACAGGGUUCGAAUCCCAUUCUUGACAAA
Molecule: transfer RNA, 79 nt
Filed under: Spirodela intermedia
Lineage: Eukaryota; Viridiplantae; Streptophyta; Magnoliopsida; Alismatales; Araceae
Description: tRNA-Leu
Source: RNAcentral